This 90-nucleotide transfer RNA is filed under the name Streptomyces platensis. Its description in RNAcentral is "tRNA-Gly". The record is from RNAcentral. Lineage: Bacteria; Bacillati; Actinomycetota; Actinomycetes; Kitasatosporales; Streptomycetaceae.
CUUCCGUUCGGGUGCCGCCUUCGGCUCGUCCGGCUUCCGUUCCGGCUCGUCGAAGGCCGGACGGGCGUGGUGCCAGGGCGCGUCGGAGGA